GGCUCAGUGGUCUAGAGGUAUGAUUCCUGCUUCGGGCGUAGAAACCCUUCCAUCUACACGUGGGAAUGCAGGAGGCCCCGGGUUCGAAUCCCGGCUGAGCCC
Non-coding RNA from Xylariaceae sp. FL1651, 102 nucleotides. The record is from the annotation of a GenBank genome assembly. NCBI's taxonomy places the organism in Eukaryota, Fungi, Ascomycota, Sordariomycetes, Xylariales, Xylariaceae.